Long non-coding RNA from Pipra filicauda (Wire-tailed manakin), 2127 nucleotides. RefSeq lists it as uncharacterized. The transcript is spliced from 4 exons. The record is from RefSeq and is a predicted model, not a curated record. Lineage: Eukaryota; Metazoa; Chordata; Aves; Passeriformes; Pipridae.
GGCGGCGGAUGCCCCACGCCCGCUACCCCCGCUCACCAUCUUUCCCGGCCGGCAGCACCGAAAAGACCGAGCCCCGCCCCGCUUCCGCCACGACAGCCUAUUCCGGGGGCGGUGCCACCACUGUAACCCUUAAAUCGCUGAAGCACAUUGCGCAGCGCCCCGUCCAGGUGCCGCUUAAACGUUUGGAGGGGCUGCACUAUCUUCCUGGGCAACCUAUUCCUGUGCCUGACCCCCCCGGGCAGUGAAAAUUUUUUUUCUAACGUCUAAUCUGAAUUUCUCGUGCCUCAGCUUGAGGCCAUUGCCUCUUGUCCCCUCGCUGCAGGCACGGCAGAAGAGACAGACACCCCCCCUCACUACAGCCUCCUGUCGGCUAGUUAUAGAGAGCGAUCUCAGAAAUCUGGAAGAUGCCAUGAACAUUGGACAGAUGCCAUGGCAACAGCCUCCAAAGGAAGUCUGUUGAUUUGGCUGCCUGCAAGAAUAUGCUGCUAGAGGAAUUAUUCUUGUCCUUUGUAGGGUAAAAAUGAUCUUCUGUAUUUACGUGUCUUCAAAUCUGUUUGGAAAAAAGAUUUUUGGUACCAUCAUGCAGUUGUCUUUAGUAUUCAGGAAGACUGUAUACUUUUAGGGUAGAGAAUGGGCAGAGCUGUGGCCGACCCAGUAUUAUUCAGAAGCUCUUAGUCCCUGCAAAUGUCUCUUAAUACAUUGCCCAUAGUGAACUCCUGCCUGCUCAGAACCCACAGGCUUAUGUACUGGCAGCUGCUAAAGUCUAAAUUUAGCACUGACUAAUUCACACUGCUUCUUUGUUGCAUAGGAAUUAGUCCAACAUUUAGAAGGCGACAUGUCUGGACGUCAGAACUGUCUUUUUGAUGUAGGAAACAGUAGUCUGUCACUGCAGCCGGUACCCCAUCACAGCUUCUGCACAAGGAGUUUGGUCCAGCAAGAUUUGUUGGUGGGAGAAACCCUUUGUCACGCCAGCAAACAAUGAUCCUAUUAAUCAUCUAGAUUCGGAUUUAUCGAAUGCUGUGCACCAUGUUCUGCAGCCUGUCUGAUCUGGGUGGGAUUAAAAAACUGAAGUAAAAAAUAGGUAUGCCCUUAAAGAUAAGCCUUAGAGAUGAGUCUAGCUCAGGGACAGGGAAACCAAAACCAGGGCUGGCUAGACAUUAAAGAGGAAGGUGUGUAUGAGCACCAAAUAACCUCAGUGGCAUUUGUUUUGCUCAGGUUUAAAGUUAUGCUACUACAUCAUGCCGUCACUGGAGUGCAGUUCAGCCAGACAGGCCCUGAUGUGACCAUGGUCUGUUGUGCAUUGUUGCACCAAAGCACAAUUCUUAGAGGGGGUUUCACUGCCUGGCCUCAAGCUCACAGAGGAGGUUGCAUGGGCCUUUGGGCUGAGCACCAGACCGGGUGUGUGGGAGAAAGCCACAAGUUCCUUUAUAAGAAAUUAUCGAAAUCUUGUCUGAGUUACAGCAAGACAUAGCCUAUAUCUAAGCCCAAGCAUCGUGGAUGAAAUCUGCUAAAUUGGAAGCCGAGUGUCUAAACUUUCAAUGUCAGUUCUUUUAUACUUCCAAAUGUUCUGUAUGACUGAUACACAGGCAAUAUCUUUGGAAAAGAAAUACAAUAUCAGCUGGUUGGGAAAAAUCCAACUCCUUCCUGCAGAAAUGUUGAAGGAAAAGUCUAUAUGAGAAGCUCAGGAAAGGAAGCCAACUUGAAUUUAAAGUUAUAUUCAAACAGUUGGCUAUCUUACCAUCUAAAUUUUCUCACUUUUUAUGUGGAAUUGCUUGCCUAGUUAUGUCUCUGGCAUCACAUUCCCUUGUGUUAUUCAGCUGUGCUCCAAGUGCAUAUGUGAAUGACUUUAUCUUUAGUAAAAGUAUGAUUUUACUAAAUGUGAAUGAUUUUACUUAUCACCAGCCAUUCCUUAGGACAUGACCUGAUGUUCUUCUCCUGGAAAUGUUGGAAAAAUGCACAUGCAUGCCUUAUUACACUGCCUUCUGUCUCCCAAGGUAGGCAGGUAAUUCAGUUUUACAAGAUCCAUCCAGGUUUGGCACCUGUUAGUGUUAAAAGCACGGAUACGGCAUAUACCUGGUACAGUACAUUUUCAAACUUUUCGUGUAUGUUGCAAUUAGAAGUAUCCAA